RNAcentral lists this long non-coding RNA (727 nucleotides) under Capsicum annuum. RNAcentral's name for it is "long non-coding RNA (CANN_LNC002969)". Lineage: Eukaryota; Viridiplantae; Streptophyta; Magnoliopsida; Solanales; Solanaceae. The record is from RNAcentral.
UUAUAAUCAUUCGUCUCACAUUUGUUCUCUUUCGGUUUAGUCUUGAGCUUAAAUAAUAUGAAUUACUCUUGUUUUCAUGUUUUUCUUAUGUAGGAGCAUUUUGAGGCAUUUGGAGUUUAAAAAAGAGAAAAAAGAUCACCAAGGAACCAAAAAAAAUUAUGGGAGGAUUAACAUUGCAACGCGUAGAAAAAGGAGCGAAAAAUGGCCAAGUAGAGAGUUUCUUGCACUAGUGCUGCAAAGAAAGCAGUGACACGGAUUUAUGUUUCUUUCUGGAAAAUAUUGAAGGCCUGCACCACUCAAAUUAAGGAAUGGUGCAAGUUUAGCCACUGUUCGGGAUUUUCACUUGUUCCUUGCACAACAACUUCACUUUUGAAUUGUGGUGCGAGACGGGACCUCUCCUAACCCUAUAUAUUGGGAUUAGUUUUUGACAUUCUAAGGGUUCCUAACUCUAUAUAAACCCUCUCCACACAUUAUUUAACAUUAACAACUGAUUUGGGAAAGCCAAAAGUUAGGGCAAAACUCAAGAACAAAGUUAAUUUAUUGCUUUUUAUUUUAUUUUCAAUUUCUACCUUGUAAACUCGUGAAAUCUCUUAUUUUAAAGUGAUUCAUGAGUAGCUAAGCCUCUUAAUUUCUAAGGUUGUGGUUGAGCAUGAAAGGUGUGGCUUAAAUAUCAUAUUAUCUAUUUUGAUUUUCAUAUAUUGAGUUAUUUAUUUCUUCUUGCUCUCAA